GAGCUGCUAAACUGGGAAGUACCUGGAGAACUAAAGAAGAGAGUGAAAGUGGAAGAGGGGAAGGGUCUGGAGGUGUAAGGAACAGUUUGAUUGGUCUAAGAAGUAUCCGCACUUCAAACUCCACCACUUCAACCAGGCGUUUCGUACAUCAGAGCCUCCAGUGGCUUGUUAAAAGUUACACCUCGGAACAGCAGCGAGCUCCCUGCCCCCGUCAGCACAAAACGCACUCUGAGUCUGAGUCCAAAACAGCCAGCUGACAUCAUGUGCACCCACAGCAGGGUCCACCAUUGCUUUUCCAUUAGAAGACUACAGCCUGACACCCCCUGUCUACGAGAACUGUGAACAACUCCAAUAAUAGAUGCAUUAAAAGCCAGGGCUGUGUAAUCAAGGUGCUUUGUGAAUUAUAGAGCUCCAUACUGUCCAAUCACAUAGAACUCCGCAGUGCACUUCCUGCUCCUGCCCACUCAUACUGCAGCCUACACACGUUCAAUAUUCAGACAAGAUUUUCAGGAAUUCUGAAUGAAUUUUCACACUGUGUUACUGUAGAUAGCAAUAUGCUGGUAAUAUAUUGGCAUAUUAAAGGGCCUGUACAAGAUUUUUUUCUAUGUAUUUCACCAAAAUUCAGUGUAUUUUUAUAAUUCCCCUCCAAAAAAAUUUUAAUAGAAAUAAGGGUAAGUAUGUUUUGGUAAAGUACAUUGUAAUUGAGUAUAUACGCACUAGCCACAAGAGCUUCCCAUCGAGUGGGAUGAGGCUGUUCACAUUGGGACUAUGGAGCUCUACAAUAGACAAUAACACUUGAAAUGAAUCAUUUUAGCUCAUGAAUUGUGUUUGAAGAGGCCAGAUUGUGGAUAUAGAGAAUAAUAGAGCUGUGUGUUCAUUAGAAAGAUCCUAAGGCUCUAUGUUUGUGGAGGCAAAGUAAAAAGACUUUUUCUUUAGUUACUGUGACUGUAUUAAAUCAGACAUGUAAGUAUUCCCAUGUGUGUUUAUAGUUUUUUACUCAUCUUACUGACUUAUCACAGUUGAUCAAAAUAUACAUGAGUUACAUCUGAAACCACUGAAUGUUCUCUUUACCUCUCUCUGUAGAUGUCUUGUAGAUUGUAGAUAGAUGUAGAUUCUUAAAUACCCAUACCAUAUCAUCACUGUAUUUUAUUUGGAAAACACAACUGGCUACAACCAUACAACAGACAUCAGUUUCAUUGGAUUCAACUAAUCUUUAAAUUUAACUACUUUAACUGUCCUCAUUAUCUACAUCAAUAUUUAGUAACAGUAAUAUCGUCAUAUUCACUUAGAAGCACCCACUGUGUCAAUUUUUCUGUUUCCCGAAUCUACAAAGAAGUUGGACGUAAAUCAUUUCAGUACAAAGCCCCUUCAGACUGGAAUGGAUUACCCACACCCUUAACAUCUUUCAAUUCAUUUAAAUCAUCUUUAUUUUCAUAUCUCAGAACUAGUUGUUUAUGCUUUUAGUUUGUCUUUUCUUUAUAUGAAUCAAGUACUGUUGUAGGAGUUGGGAGUGCAUGAGGGAGCAUGU
This is a long non-coding RNA of Boleophthalmus pectinirostris (great blue-spotted mudskipper), 1528 nucleotides long. RefSeq lists it as uncharacterized. NCBI's taxonomy places the organism in Eukaryota, Metazoa, Chordata, Actinopteri, Gobiiformes, Gobiidae. The transcript is spliced from 3 exons. The record is from RefSeq and is a predicted model, not a curated record.